GACAGAGGUGCCGAGCGUUAGGCGGAAUCACUGGGCUUAAAGCGUGUGUAGGCGGGCCGUUAAGUGCCCCGUGAAAUCCCCCGGCUCAACCAGGGAACGGCGGGGCAUACUGGCGGCCUUGAGCCACUUAAGGGCAGACGGAACAAGCGGUGGAGCGGUGAAAUGCGUAGAUAUUGCUCGGAAGGCCAGAGCCGAAGGGGCCCUACUGGUGCGCAACUGACACUGAGGCACGAAAGCGUGGGGAGCAAACAGG
RNAcentral lists this ribosomal RNA (253 nucleotides) under uncultured bacterium. Its description in RNAcentral is "partial 16S ribosomal RNA". It matches the Rfam family "Bacterial small subunit ribosomal RNA", at positions 524 to 776 of the family's 1533-position model. The record is from RNAcentral.